GAGUAGGGCGGGACACGUGGUAUCCUGUCUGAAUAUGGGGGGACCAUCCUCCAAGGCUAAAUACUCCUGACUGACCGAUAGUGAACCAGUACCGUGAGGGAAAGGCGAAAAGAACCCCGGCGAGGGGAGUGAAAAAGAACCUGAAACCGUGUACGUACAAGCAGUGGGAGCACGCUUAGGCGUGUGACUGCGUACCUUUUGUAUAAUGGGUCAGCGACUUAUAUUCUGUAGCAAGGUUAACCGAAUAGGGGAGCCGAAGGGAAACCGAGUCUUAACUGGGCGUUAAGUUGCAGGGUAUAGACCCGAAACCCGGUGAUCUAGCCAUGGGCAGGUUGAAGGUUGGGUAACACUAACUGGAGGACCGAACCGACUAAUGUUGAAAAAUUAGCGGAUGACUUGUGGCUGGGGGUGAAAGGCCAAUCAAACCGGGAGAUAGCUGGUUCUCCCCGAAAGCUAUUUAGGUAGCGCCUCGUGAAUUCAUCUCCGGGGGUAGAGCACUGUUUCGGCAAGGGGGUCAUCCCGACUUACCAACCCGAUGCAAACUGCGAAUACCGGAGAAUGUUAUCACGGGAGACACACGGCGGGUGCUAACGUCCGUCGUGAAGAGGGAAACAACCCAGACCGCCAGCUAAGGUCCCAAAGUCAUGGUUAAGUGGGAAACGAUGUGGGAAGGCCCAGACAGCCAGGAUGUUGGCUUAGAAGCAGCCAUCAUUUAAAGAAAGCGUAAUAGCUCACUGGUCGAGUCGGCCUGCGCGGAAGAUGUAACGGGGCUAAACCAUGCAC
RNAcentral lists this ribosomal RNA (783 nucleotides) under Escherichia coli. Its description in RNAcentral is "partial 23S ribosomal RNA". It matches the Rfam family "Bacterial large subunit ribosomal RNA", at positions 410 to 1194 of the family's 2925-position model. The record is from RNAcentral. Lineage: Bacteria; Pseudomonadati; Pseudomonadota; Gammaproteobacteria; Enterobacterales; Enterobacteriaceae.